AGAGUUUGAUCAUGGCUCAGAGCGAACGCUGGCGGCAGGCUUAACACAUGCAAGUCGAGCGGGCGUAGCAAUACGUCAGCGGCAGACGGGUGAGUAACGCGUGGGAACGUACCUUUUGGUUCGGAACAACACAGGGAAACUUGUGCUAAUACCGGAUAAGCCCUUAAGGGGAAAGAUUUAUCGCCGAAAGAUCGGCCCGCGUCUGAUUAGCUAGUUGGUGAGGUAACGGCUCACCAAGGCGACGAUCAGUAGCUGGUCUGAGAGGAUGAUCAGCCACAUUGGGACUGAGACACGGCCCAGACUCCUACGGGAGGCAGCAGUGGGGAAUCUUGGACAAUGGGCGCAAGCCUGAUCCAGCCAUGCCGCGUGAGUGAAGAAGGCCCUAGGGUUGUAAAGCUCUUUCGGCGGGGACGAUAAUGACGGUACCCGCAGAAGAAGCCCCGGCUAACUCCGUGCCAGCCGCCGCGGUAAUAC
This 474-nucleotide ribosomal RNA is filed under the name uncultured bacterium. Its description in RNAcentral is "bacterial SSU rRNA". It matches the Rfam family "Bacterial small subunit ribosomal RNA", at positions 8 to 526 of the family's 1533-position model. The record is from RNAcentral.